This 204-nucleotide long non-coding RNA is filed under the name Manihot esculenta (cassava). RNAcentral describes it as "long non-coding RNA (MESC_LNC009461)". Lineage: Eukaryota; Viridiplantae; Streptophyta; Magnoliopsida; Malpighiales; Euphorbiaceae. The record is from RNAcentral.
GAUAAGGUAAGUAGAUCUGAUUUUUCUUUUCUGACAUCUUUUAUGAAAGACCUUGCCAUAGACAUAGUGCAACAGGUUCAAGCAUCUCAGCUACCAACACCAUGUGGGAAUUAUGCAUACGUAGGAUAUCCAACUAAUCAAUGUUCUACACGUUAUGAGUAUGACCAGCCUAGACAUACAUUUGGAGGAUACUAUGAACAGCCA